UGAGUGAUGAUAAUGACAGUAGCUCAUGAAUAAGGACCUGCUAACUACGUGCCAGCAGCCGCGGUCAUACGUAGGGUCCAAGCGUUAUCCGGAAUUACUGGGCGUAAAGAGUUGCGUAGGUGGCAAGGUAAGCGAAGCAUGAAAUUUUGUGGCUCAACCACAAGACUAUGCUUUGAACUAUCUAGCUAGGGCGCGGGAGAGGUAGAUGGAAUUGCUGGUGUAGGAGUGAAAUCCGUAGAUAUCAG
RNAcentral lists this ribosomal RNA (245 nucleotides) under uncultured prokaryote. Its description in RNAcentral is "partial 16S ribosomal RNA". It matches the Rfam family "Bacterial small subunit ribosomal RNA", at positions 439 to 700 of the family's 1533-position model. The record is from RNAcentral.